RNAcentral lists this ribosomal RNA (440 nucleotides) under uncultured bacterium. Its description in RNAcentral is "partial 16S ribosomal RNA". It matches the Rfam family "Bacterial small subunit ribosomal RNA", at positions 338 to 795 of the family's 1533-position model. The record is from RNAcentral.
CCUACGGGGGGCAGCAGUGGGGAAUAUUGCACAAUGGGGGAAACCCUGAUGCAGCGACGCCGCGUGAUUGAAGAAGUAUUUCGGUACGUAAAGCUCUAUCAUCAGGGAAGAAAAUGACGGUACCUGACUAAGAAGCCCCUGCUAAAUACGUGCCAGCAGCCGCGGUAAUACGUAGGGGGCAGGCGUUAUCCUGAUUUACUGGGGGGAAAGGGAGCGGAGACGGCGGGGCAAGUGUGAAGUGAAAUCCCAUGGCUUAACCAUGGAACUGCUUUUGAAACUGUGCAGCUUGAGUGCAGGAGAGGUAAGCGGAAUUCCGAGUGUAGCGGUGAAAUGCGUAGAUAUUAGGAGGAACACCAGUGGCGAAGGCGGCUUACUGGACUGUAACUGACGUUGAGGCUCGAAAGCGUGGGGAGCAAACAGGAUUAGAUACCCUUGUAGUC